Molecule: ribosomal RNA, 410 nt
Filed under: uncultured bacterium
Lineage: Bacteria
Description: bacterial SSU rRNA
Rfam family: Bacterial small subunit ribosomal RNA
Source: RNAcentral
AAUGGGGGCAACCCUGAUCCAGCCAUGCCGCGUGAGUGAAGAAGGCCUUCGGGUUGUAAAGCUCUUUCGGCCGGGAAAAAAUCGCAUGGGCUAAUACCCUGUGUGGAUGAUGGUACCGGAAUAAGAAGCACCGGCUAACUACGUGCCAGCAGCCGCGGUAAUACGUAGGGUGCGAGCGUUAAUCGGAAUUACUGGGCGUAAAGCGUGCGCAGGCGGUUUUGUAAGGCAGGCGUGAAAUCCCCGGGCUCAACCUGGGAACUGCGCUUGUGACUGCAAGGCUAGAGUACGGCAGAGGGGGGUGGAAUUCCACGUGUAGCAGUGAAAUGCGUAGAGAUGUGGAGGAACACCAAUGGCGAAGGCAGCCCCCUGGGCCGAUACUGACGCUCAUGCACGAAAGCGCGGGGAGCAAA